UAGCUGGUGAUUUACUCUGAGGCUGUUC
Molecule: non-coding RNA, 28 nt
Filed under: Bombyx mori (domestic silkworm)
Lineage: Eukaryota; Metazoa; Arthropoda; Insecta; Lepidoptera; Bombycidae
Source: RNAcentral